CUUCAGUUUUGACAAGGAAGCGCUUGCAGACUCGAUAUUGAAGUGGGCAAACAGCCUCAGACAUCAAAUUUAUCUAAGGAAUGACAACUAUCAUUGAAUCAAAGUGAACGGUCAAAUGAGGCGAACAUCAAUGUGAGGAUUUCUUAGUUCAUCAUGCCUGUUAAUCCAAGCUCGAACGACGAGACCUCCAUGAAUCAGCCUCAGCCCAAACGAAUCACGAUUGUCAUGGAUGAUUCAAUUGGACCCGGAGAUGAUUUCGAUGCGAUAGGUCACCUUUCUCAAUACUCAAGACAAAGGCCUGGACCAGUGAAAUAUCAAGCGAGACUUCAUCCAACGGCUAUUUUGAUUUGGAGUUCGGGCCUUAUUUUUUGUGGUGUGUGCACAAUCAUUAUUCAGGCUGUUAUGUUGAUCCUUGAUCAUGAAGACUUUGAUAUCCAACUUUCCACAGGGAUAUGGUCUGGAGUGGUUUGUAUAAUAGCCUCUAUUUUUGGGCUUUGUUCGCUAAAACACGCAUCAAAAGGCCAUGUAAGAAUUUUAUAAAUUUUAAAAAAGCUUAGCAUAUCGUACCCGCAUGUAAAACGUUCUCAAAUUUGCAUGGAUCAUCCAUCAGCUCACUGUUCGACAAAACCAAAAGACAGGAAGUUCAGAAAUAGGGACUGUGAACGAGCUUCCCGCCAAAUCGGCUUGCUCUUGGUCAUAGCAACUGUGGGCCACUUUUCGAACUGAAUUUAAAAAAUAAGAACGUAGAUCUCCCAAUUAAAGGUAAAAAAGCCUUUGGGUUAUGGUAGUUUUCGCUGUACUUGCAUUUGCCGUCAACAUAACAGCCAUUGGAUUCAGCGUUUUUACCAUUAAAGAUAUUUGCAAAGGGCCUCCAGAUUUUACCAAUCAGCAAUGUCGUGUCUUGCUCACUUGAGCGUAGUAGACACGAUUUUCUUUGUAAUUGGUGGAUUAUGCUCGUUUGCCAUGGUCGUUUUAUCAAGUCAAGGAAUUUGCUGUUUUUGAAAUG
Long non-coding RNA from Tigriopus californicus, 1006 nucleotides. RefSeq lists it as uncharacterized. NCBI's taxonomy places the organism in Eukaryota, Metazoa, Arthropoda, Copepoda, Harpacticoida, Harpacticidae. The record is from RefSeq and is a predicted model, not a curated record. The transcript is spliced from 4 exons.